AGGCCGUCACUGUUGCUAGUGUGCAACUCUGGGGACACGGCUGGAAUUGCACUUUAGCAAUGGUGACGGAGC
RNAcentral lists this microRNA precursor (72 nucleotides) under Tupaia belangeri (northern tree shrew). RNAcentral's name for it is "microRNA 367 (ENSTBEG00000017773.1)". It matches the Rfam family "mir-367 microRNA precursor family". Lineage: Eukaryota; Metazoa; Chordata; Mammalia; Scandentia; Tupaiidae. The record is from RNAcentral.